UACGGGGGGGGUAAGCGUUGUUCGGAAUUACUGUGCGUAAAGGGCUCGUAGGCGGCCAACUAAGUCAGACGUGAAAUCCCUCAGCUUAACUGGGGAACUGCGUCUGAUACUGGAUGGCUUGGAUUCGGGAGAGGAAUGCGGAAUUCCAGGUGUAGCGGUGAAAUGCGUAGAUAUCUGGAGGAACACCGGUGGCGAAGGCGGCAUUCUGGACCGACAUUGACGCUGAGGAGCGAAAGCCAGGGGAGCAAACGGG
Molecule: ribosomal RNA, 253 nt
Filed under: uncultured bacterium
Lineage: Bacteria
Description: partial 16S ribosomal RNA
Rfam family: Bacterial small subunit ribosomal RNA
Source: RNAcentral